CUACGGGUUGCAGCAGUGGGGAAUAUUGCACAAUGGGGGAAACCCUGAUGCAGCGACGCCGCGUGCGUGAAGAAGGCCUUCGGGUUGUAAACCGCUUUCAAUUGGGAAGAAGGGAUGAGAGUUAAUACCUCUCUGACUUGACGGUACCUUUAGAAGAAGCACCGGCUAAUUUCGUGCCAGCAGCCGCGGUAAUACGGAAGGUGCAAGCGUUGAUCGGAAUUACUGGGCGUAAAGCGUGCGCAGGCGGUUUUGUAAGUCGGAUGUGAAAUCCCCGGGCUCAACCUGGGAACUGCGUUCGAAACUGGAAGGCUAGAGUGUGGCAGAGGGGGGUAGAAUUCCACGUGUAGCAGUGAAAUGCGUAGAGAUGUGGAGGAAUACCAAUGGCGAAGGCAGCCCCCUGGGAUAACACUGACGCUCAGGCACGAAAGCGUGGGGAGCAAACAGGAUUAGAUACCCGCGUAGUC
This 464-nucleotide ribosomal RNA is filed under the name uncultured bacterium. RNAcentral's name for it is "partial 16S ribosomal RNA". It matches the Rfam family "Bacterial small subunit ribosomal RNA", at positions 339 to 795 of the family's 1533-position model. The record is from RNAcentral.